UGGCAACAUAGACCUUGUCUCAAUUAAAAAAAGGUUUCUUAAUUAAGAAAAACCUUAAGUGCUUGCUAGAACAGUUUUGAAACGGUUUGAGGCCUUGCCCUGCUCCAUCCAGAGCAAGGUUAUAGAAAUUUCAGACAAUG
Molecule: small nucleolar RNA, 140 nt
Organism: Macaca fascicularis (crab-eating macaque)
Lineage: Eukaryota; Metazoa; Chordata; Mammalia; Primates; Cercopithecidae
Source: Ensembl